This 2766-nucleotide long non-coding RNA is filed under the name Phoenix dactylifera (date palm). RNAcentral describes it as "long non-coding RNA (PDAC_LNC001148)". The record is from RNAcentral. Lineage: Eukaryota; Viridiplantae; Streptophyta; Magnoliopsida; Arecales; Arecaceae.
AAUCUCUCAUAACCUGAUUGAACAACCUUAAAAUAAAUAAAAUAUAUAUAAAUAACAAAAAUAAAUAGGUACACAAAUAUACAAAUGAACGAAUGAAAAAAUAUCCAAGAGGUGUAAAAAAGGGUUGCAUUCAAACUCUAGUUGCUUGCUUGAGUUGCAGCAGAAGAUGAAGACAUACACAUUAAACUUGGGCAUGCUUCAAGAAUUGAUUGGAAACAGUAUAUAGCCACCAAUAACCCAACAAAAGUGCAGCCACUUAUGCCAAAGUACACAAUCUUCAGCAGCAGACCACCAUAUAAUAGAAGCAACUGCCGAAAAAGGAUGUAAAUGUCACCGGCAAACAAGUUCUGAAAACUCCAGGCAGUGAAGAAUAGAAGGAAAUACAAUACGGUACUCAUCACGAAUAUCGCAAAAGCCUAUGGUAAAAUUAAUGUUAGCUCCUCAUAAACACAAUCCCCCUGGCAACAACAAAUCACAAAAUACUGAAGAGAUGAGACAGCUGAAGGACACAUCUUCUUUGCAAAAUAGGAUCGCAUAUACACCGGUGUUUGCUCAGUGCCUUUUCUAAGUCUUGUUUCCAAGCUAUGAUCUGUUGAGUCUGCUUGCCACAAACUAGAUUGGCCAAAUCACACUACAUGAACAAAAAUUAAGAUACAUAUCACAAUCAAGUGGAGAAGCCCCCUCAUGAGAAAUCAAUCUUAACUCCAGCCUCUGCAGUACUUGGUAUUCUCAUCAACUGAAGCUCGAAAACCAUGGUAAAAUACAUCAAAACUAGAACUAUUUUUAGGCUAUCAAAUUGCAGAUUUACACAAUUAGACUCGCUAUCAAAUGCAGAAAAACCAUAACUCAAAGAACAAGUCCUUCACAAAAUUAAUGGUACCUUGCCUUAACGAUUAUAACAACCAAUGUAGUCCCUGAGUAACUGCAAGAACAAGUAAUAAUUGCCAUCUAACUCAUCAAGAGUACGAAUAAAAAAUGGCACCUGAUAUAUCAGAAUCGCUAUCAGAAUCACUAUCCCAACCAUAAAUUUCUAAACAAGAUGGAAGUGAAACAUAUGAGCCAAUUGCCAAAUAAUGAAAUCUACAAUUAAAUAAUCCCCCGAAAAUCCAAAGAAGAACCAAAGGACGGAUUCUGUAAACGGAAACCUCAAAGAAGAACCAACAAUUCCAGAUUCUGUAAAGUGCAGGAUGGAUUCAUCAACAAACAAUAAUCCCCCGAAAUCAACUGCUCCAGCCUAGGGAUGAAACAAAUCCAACAAAUUAGCCACCAAAGGACGGAACGGGAAACCUACGAAAAAGAACCGAUAAUUCCCGAUUCUGUAAAACGUAUUCAUCAAGAAACAAUAAUCCCCCCCAAAUCAUUUGCACCGGCCUAGGAUGAAAGAAAUCCAACGUAUCAGCCACCAAAUGCCGGAACGGAAACGCACGAAAAAGAACCAAUAAUUCCAGAAUUGUAAAACGUAGGAUGGAUUCAUGAAGAAACCUAAUCAUUCCAAAUCAACUCCAACAGGCAAAGAUGAACAAAAUCCUACGAAUCAAACAGAAACCUUUGAAGAAGAGCAAAUAAUUGAUGAAUUCAUCAAGAAUUCGAGAUCACUCCAAGGCAAGUGCAUCGACCGACAAUAACUCAAAAUCCGACGAAUUAACCACAAAAUAUCAAGAAACCCUUAAGUUUCACCAGAAGUGCAAGACCAUGAAAAGUUGUAACAGCAGGAGUGAUGAUUAACACAUUCUGACAAGCAAGGCUAAAGGAAAAAAGAUUAUCAAUACGAUCAAUAAUACCUCCAAAGGCGAGCGACCGCCUCUAUACAAAUCAUCUCUCGCAAACAUUGACGAUCUAUAGCACAUUAAUUCUGAUGACAAUUUAGGUUCAAAUCUGAUCCUAAAUAACAUACUAUUGAGAAGAUAAAAGUCAGCAAAUAGAGACAACCAUACAUAUGGAAAACAAGAGAUAAUAAAAACCUCAGAUCCCCCACAAAAAAGUGCAUCCAAGAACCUCCAAGAAACAUGGCUGCAAGAUUGCAAUAAUAAUACAGAAAGCAACGAACAUCCAUCCUAAACAAAAUGUUCAUAAAAAAUGUUGAUUUACACAAAUAGAAUCGCUAUCAAAUCGAGAAAAACCAUAACUCAAAAAACAAGUCCUUUACGAUAUUUAUGGUACCUUGCCUUAAAUUAUCCCAACCAAUGUAGCCCCUGAGUAACUGCAACAAGUAAUAAUUGACAUCUACCUCAUCAGGAGUAUGAAUAAAAUGACACCAUGUAUCAGAAACACAAUCAGAAUCACUAUCCCAACCAUAAAUUUCUAAACAAGAUGGAAGGGAAACAUCUGCGCCAAUUGCCAAAUAAUGAAACCUACAAUUAAAUAAGCACGACAGAAUAAAGCAAUUCAAAUACGAACCACCUUGCAAAGUACUCAAUACCGGGUCAUCCCUAAACAAGAAUAAUCUCUCAUAACCUGAAUAAACAACCUUAAACUAAAUAACAUAUAUAGAAAUAACAAAGAUAAAUAGGUACACAAAUAUAUAAAUGAAUGAAUGAAAAAAUAUCCAAGAGAUGAAAAAAAGGGUUGCCAUUCAAACUCUAAUUGCUUGUUUGAGGUGCGGCAGAAGAUGAAAACAUACACAUCAAACUCUAAUUGCUUGCUUGAAGUGAUUGGAUACAUUAUAUAGCAACCAACAACCCAACAAAAGUGCAGCCACUUAUGCCAAAGUACACAAUCUUCAGCAGCAGACCACCAUAUAAUAGAAGCAACUGCCGAAAAAGGAUG